Molecule: ribosomal RNA, 418 nt
Filed under: bacterium
Lineage: Bacteria
Description: bacterial SSU rRNA
Rfam family: Bacterial small subunit ribosomal RNA
Source: RNAcentral
GAUGAACGUUGGCGGCAGGCCUAAUACAUGCAAGUCAAACGGGGAGCUUUGCUCCUAGUGGCGAACGGGUGAGUAAUACAUUUCUAACAUGCCCUAAAGCGGGGGAUAACUGAGGGAAACUUUAGCUAAUACCGCAUAAGAUAUAGAGAGGCAUCUCUUUAUGUUUAAAGGUGCGUUUGCACCACUUUAGGAUUGGGGAAUGGCGUAUUAGCUAGUUGGUAAGAUAACAGCUUACCAAGGCGAUGAUGCGUAUCCGGGUUGAGAGACUGAUCGGGCACACUGGAACUGAGACACGGUCCAGACUUCUACGGAAGGCAGCAGUAGGGAAUAUUCCACAAUGGGCGAAAGCCUGAUGGAGCCAUGCCGCGUGAGGGAUGAAUGCAAUUUUUGUGUAAACCUCUGUUAUAUGGGAAGAACA